GCUGGGUGCAGUGGUGCAUGCCUAUAAUCCCAGCCUCUCAGGAGGCUGAGGCAGGAGGAUGGCGAUUUCAAUGCCAGCUUCAGCAACUUAGUGAGAUCCUAAGCAACUUCGCAAGACCCUGUCUUAA
Molecule: small RNA, 127 nt
Filed under: Marmota monax (woodchuck)
Lineage: Eukaryota; Metazoa; Chordata; Mammalia; Rodentia; Sciuridae
Source: RNAcentral